AUUGAACGCUGGCGGCAUGCUUUACACAUGCAAGUCGAACGGCAGCGCGGGCUUCGGCCUGGCGGCGAGUGGCGAACGGGUGAGUAAUACAUCGGAACGUGCCCAGUAGUGGGGGAUAGCUCGGCGAAAGCCGGAUUAAUACCGCAUACGACCUGAGGGUGAAAGCGGGGAUCUUCGGACCUCGCGCCUUUGGGGCGGCCGAUGGCCGAUUAGCUAGUUGGUGGGGUAAAGGCCUACCAAGGCGACGAUCUGUAGCUGGUCUGAGAGGACGACCAGCCACACUGGGACUGAGACACGGCCCAGACUCCUACGGGAGGCAGCAGUGGGGAAUUUUGGACAAUGGGCGAAAGCCUGAUCCAGCAAUGCCGCGUGUGUGAUGAAGGCCUUCGGGUUGUAAAGCACUUUUGGCGGGAACGAAAAGGACUGUGCCAAUACCACGGUUCGAUGACGGUACCCGCAGAAUAAGCACCGGCUAACUACGUG
RNAcentral lists this ribosomal RNA (483 nucleotides) under uncultured bacterium. RNAcentral describes it as "partial 16S ribosomal RNA". It matches the Rfam family "Bacterial small subunit ribosomal RNA", at positions 29 to 507 of the family's 1533-position model. The record is from RNAcentral.